CUAAUACAUGCAAGUCGAGGGGCAGCACAGGUAGCAAUACUGGGUGGCGACCGGCAAACGGGUGCGGAACACGUACGCAACCUUCCUUCAAGCGGGGAAUAGCCCAGAGAAAUUUGGAUUAAUACCCCAUAAGAAUGUGACCUGGCAUCAGGUAGCAUUUAAAGAUUUAUCACUUGAAGAUGGGCGUGCGUCUGAUUAGGUAGUUGGUGAGGUAACGGCUCACCAAGCCGACGAUCAGUAACUGGCGUGAGAGCGCGACCAGUCACACGGGCACUGAGACACGGGCCCGACUCCUACGGGAGGCAGCAGUAAGGAAUAUUGGUCAAUGGACGAGAGUCUGAACCAGCCAUGCCGCGUGGAGGAUGAAGGCCCUCUGGGUUGUAAACUUCUUUUAUUUGGGACGAAACACUUCUUUUCUAAGGAGCUUGACGGUACCAGAUGAAUAAGCACCGGCUAACUCCGUGCCAGCAGCCGCGGUAAUACGGAGGGUGCAAGCGUUAUCCGGAUUCACUGGGUUUAAAGGGUGCGUAGGCGGACAUGUAAGUCCGUGGUGAAAUCUCCAAGCUUAACUUGGAAACUGCCAUGGAUACUCUAUGUCUUGAAUGUUGUGGAGGUUAGCGGAAUAUGUCAUGUAGCGGUGAAAUGCAUAGAUAUGACAUAGAACACCAAUUGCGAAGGCAGCUGGCUACACAAAUAUUGACGCUGAGGCACGAAAGCGUGGGGAUCAAACAGGAUUAGAUACCCUGGUAGUCCACGCCCUAAACGAUGAUU
This 771-nucleotide ribosomal RNA is filed under the name Chitinophaga sp. RNAcentral describes it as "bacterial SSU rRNA". It matches the Rfam family "Bacterial small subunit ribosomal RNA", at positions 48 to 814 of the family's 1533-position model. The record is from RNAcentral. Lineage: Bacteria; Pseudomonadati; Bacteroidota; Chitinophagia; Chitinophagales; Chitinophagaceae.